Non-coding RNA from Cajanus cajan (pigeon pea), 1156 nucleotides. The record is from RefSeq and is a predicted model, not a curated record. NCBI's taxonomy places the organism in Eukaryota, Viridiplantae, Streptophyta, Magnoliopsida, Fabales, Fabaceae.
GUAUAGAGCAAGCCUAGAAGAAUUUCCGCUUUGUUAGAGACUGAGGCCUACGAAAGUCCAGAAGUAGCUAUCAGCUUAUCAUCAUGCAAGUCCAUCCACCACAUUCACCAAAGCUCAGGAAUAAGUAGUGUGGAGUAAUGCUUCUUCAGUUCAUGCUUUCACUCCCAAAAGUAAUUAAUGUUAAAGCAUCCCUGGAUAAUUAUAAUAUCUCUAUUGUAUGACAAGAUAAUUGGCAUCACUAUGGAAAGCAUCACCAGCAGUAGGAGCUCAAGCUUCCUAACUUCAACCUGUUCCUCAGCAAUGGGGUUUUUCAGCCCAAGGUAAAUCAUGCCAACUACAACCAGCACUACUGCCAAAAAGACUAGGAUGGCUGUAAAAACACCAAAUGCAUAUGGUGUAUUUUCUCCCCCAGGUAUUCCAUCAACGUUAAUCCCAAAUAACCCAGUAAUGAUGGUGAGAACAACACCAACGCCACCAAACACUGCUAAGUUAUGGGUUACCCGAAGGCUUCUAUCCUGGAUAGAGAUUCAGUAGAUGCAAGACAAUUAUCAUGUUAAUCUAGGGUGAGCAAUAUAAAGUUGUUCUAGCUACUGUCUGAAAAUAAACAAAAGCAUCCUAAAUGAAAGUUCUGAAACCUGCAACCAAGCUCGAACAGUGCUUUGCAUAACAUCUUGAAUGGUAAACAAGCGACCGCGAACUGCUUCUUGCUCCUCAAUCAUUUCUCUUGUGCUCUUUUUUAUUCCCUCUAACAGGCUUCUUGCUCCAUUUCCUUUUAGAUGUUGGAGAAGCUCAAAGACAAUCUCCUCUCUUGCAUGGAGGGACCACUUCACUCUGAUAACCUGCAAUGAAACACAAAAGUUGACAAAAAGCACAUGCAAAACAUUGUUGACAACUAAAAGUCCUAAAAGCUUAAGCUGUUAAGUAGCAGCCCUUAACUCAUUAAUCCAGCUUCUGGAAAGGAUAAGCAAUAAAAAGCCUUAUCUGGUAAACAUCUAUAAGGAGGAGGAAGAUUGUGAUGCAAGAGAUAUGUAAUUAUUAGGGAAAUGCUAUAUUGGUAUUAUGUUAGUUGUUUUACAUAAGUACAGAGACCAGCUGACUCUUGGCUUCGAAAGAGUUGUUCAGCUUGACAACAUAAGAAAUGUUUUCUUUGUUUGAA